This 1286-nucleotide ribosomal RNA is filed under the name metagenome. RNAcentral describes it as "bacterial SSU rRNA". It matches the Rfam family "Bacterial small subunit ribosomal RNA", at positions 242 to 1519 of the family's 1533-position model. The record is from RNAcentral.
UAGCUAGUUGGUGAGGUAACGGCUUACCAAGGCGACGAUCUGUAGCGGGUCUGAGAGGAUGAUCCGCCACACUGGAACUGAGACACGGUCCAGACUCCUACGGGAGGCAGCAGUGGGGAAUUUUGGACAAUGGGGGCAACCCUGAUCCAGCCAUGCCGCGUGAGUGAAGAAGGCCUUCGGGUUGUAAAGCUCUUUCGGCCGGGAAGAAAUCGCAUGGGCCAAUACCCUGUGUGGAUGACGGUACCGGAAUAAGAAGCACCGGCUAACUACGUGCCAGCAGCCGCGGUAAUACGUAGGGUGCGAGCGUUAAUCGGAAUUACUGGGCGUAAAGCGUGCGCAGGCGGUUUUGUAAGACAGGCGUGAAAUCCCCGGGCUCAACCUGGGAACUGCGUUUGUGACUGCAAGGCUAGAGUACGGCAGAGGGGGGUGGAAUUCCACGUGUAGCAGUGAAAUGCGUAGAGAUGUGGAGGAACACCAAUGGCGAAGGCAGCCCCCUGGGUCGAUACUGACGCUCAUGCACGAAAGCGUGGGUAGCAAACAGGAUUAGAUACCCUGGUAGUCCACGCCCUAAACUAUGUCAACUAGGUGUUGGGUGGGUAAAACCAUUUAGUACCGUAGCUAACGCGUGAAGUUGACCGCCUGGGGAGUACGGCCGCAAGGUUAAAACUCAAAGGAAUUGACGGGGACCCGCACAAGCGGUGGAUGAUGUGGAUUAAUUCGAUGCAACGCGAAAAACCUUACCUACCCUUGACAUGCCAGGAACUUGCCAGAGAUGGCUUGGUGCCCGAAAGGGAGCCUGGACACAGGUGCUGCAUGGCUGUCGUCAGCUCGUGUCGUGAGAUGUUGGGUUAAGUCCCGCAACGAGCGCAACCCUUGUCGUUAAUUGCCAUCAUUUAGUUGGGCACUUUAGCGAGACUGCCGGUGACAAACCGGAGGAAGGUGGGGAUGACGUCAAGUCCUCAUGGCCCUUAUGGGUAGGGCUUCACACGCCAUACAAUGGUCGGUACAAAGGGUCGCCAAGCCGCGAGGUGGAGCCAAUCCCAGAAAGCCGAUCGUAGUCCGGAUUGCAGGCUGCAACUCGCCUGCAUGAAGUCGGAAUCGCUAGUAAUCGUGGAUCAGCAUGUCACGGUGAAUACGUUCCCGGGUCUUGUACACACCGCCCGUCACACCAUGGGAGCGGGUUCCGCCAGAAGUAGGUAGCCUAACCGCAAGGAGGGCGCUUACCACGGCGGGGUUCGUGACUGGGGUGAAGUCGUAACAAGGUAGCCGUAGGGGAACCUGCGGCU